Molecule: ribosomal RNA, 503 nt
Filed under: uncultured bacterium
Lineage: Bacteria
Description: partial 16S ribosomal RNA
Rfam family: Bacterial small subunit ribosomal RNA
Source: RNAcentral
AACGAACGCUGGCGGCGUGCCUAACACAUGCAAGUCGAACGAGAAAGGGGCUUCGGCUCCGAGUAAAGUGGCGCACGGGUGAGUAACACGUGGGUAACCUGCCUCUAAGAUUGGGAUAACUCGUCAAAAGAUGAGCUAAUACCGAAUAAGACCACAGUUCCCGCGGGAACAGGGGUCAAAGGUAGCCUCUGCUUGCAAGCUAUCACUUAGAGAUGGGCCUGCGCACCAUUAGCUAGUUGGUAGGGUAACGGCCUACCAAGGCAAAGAUGGUUAGCUGGUCUGAGAGGAUGAUCAGCCACACUGGAACUGAGACACGGUCCAGACUCCUACGGGAGGCAGCAGUGGGGAAUAUUGCGCAAUGGGCGAAAGCUUGACGCAGCAACGCCGCGUGAGUGAUGAAGGCCUUCGGGUCGUAAAGCUCUGUCGGGAGGAACGAAUGCUCCUGAGGUUAACAGCCUCGGGAGGUGACGGUACCUUCAAAGGAAGCACCGGCUAACUCUGUG